GUCGAGAAUCUUCCCCAAUGGGCGAAAGCCUGAGGGAGCGACGCCGCGUGAGGGAUGAAGGCCCUUUGGGUUGUAAACCUCUGUUAGGGGGAAAGAAAAGCAGUGGAAGCAAUAUGUCCAUUGCCUGACGUUACCCCCAGAGAAAGCUCCGGCCAACUCCGUGCCAGCAGCCGCGGUAAUACGGGGGGAGCAAGCGUUGUCCGGAAUCAUUGGGCGUAAAGGGCGUGUAGGCGGCUAUUUAAGUCAGAGGUGAAAGCCUGGAGCUCAACUCCAGAACUGCCUUUGAGACUGGAUAGCUAGAAUCCUGGAGAGGUGAGUGGAAGUCCGAGUGUAGAGGUGAAAUUCGUAGAUAUUCGGAAGAACACCAGUGGCGAAGGCGGCUCACUGGACAGGUAUUGACGCUGAGGUGCGAAAGCGUGGGGAGCAAACAGGAUUAGAAACCCUGGUAGUCC
RNAcentral lists this ribosomal RNA (452 nucleotides) under uncultured bacterium. RNAcentral describes it as "partial 16S ribosomal RNA". It matches the Rfam family "Bacterial small subunit ribosomal RNA", at positions 354 to 796 of the family's 1533-position model. The record is from RNAcentral.